CCGUGCUAGGCGGGGAGGUAGCGGUGCCCUGUAACCCGCAAUCCGCUAAAGCGGGGCUGAAUCCCCGCCCGAGACCCGCUCUCUUCGGAGCCAGGGCCGCCGCGUGCGGCGUUGAACGCCGGGCCCCACGCAACGCAUACUUGUGAACCCCGCCAGGACCGGGAGGUAGCAACGGUAAGCAAGACCAUGCGUGUGCCGUGGGCGAACCUGACGGGAGCCGACCGCGACGGUGACGUCCGGGGAGGAGGGCCGGAGGCGGGUGCACGG
This 267-nucleotide signal recognition particle RNA is filed under the name Clostridia bacterium. RNAcentral describes it as "signal recognition particle sRNA large type". It matches the Rfam family "Bacterial large signal recognition particle RNA". Rfam says of the family: The signal recognition particle (SRP) is a universally conserved ribonucleoprotein involved in the co-translational targeting of proteins to membranes. Archaeal SRP consists of a 7S RNA and homologues of the eukaryotic SRP19 and SRP54 proteins. Lineage: Bacteria; Bacillati; Bacillota; Clostridia. The record is from RNAcentral.